RNA transcript from Equus caballus (horse), 4998 nucleotides. It is a transcript of the gene named AFG2 AAA ATPase homolog A, with no coding region annotated. Lineage: Eukaryota; Metazoa; Chordata; Mammalia; Perissodactyla; Equidae. The record is from RefSeq and is a predicted model, not a curated record.
UUCUUCCUCACAGUAAAGCGCGCACGUUGAGCCGGCUUUGCCGCUGCUUCUCUCAGGCAGCGUUCUGAUCAUGUCUUCCAAGAAGAGCAGAAAGCGGCUCAACCGAAGCGGAGAGGGUGGUUCGCUCUCGCCCUCCGCUGCUCCCUGUGCUGCGGGGGCCUCGGCUUCUCCUGCUGGGCCAGGCAUCGCGGCGGUGGCCGGGACUCUGGCGGUGACCAACUUCUUAGAAAAGGAUGACAAAGUUCCUAAAACAUUCCAGAAUUCCCUCGUUCAACUUGGACUCAACACUAUGAAGUCUGCAAAUAUAUGUAUAGGUCGACCAGUGUUGCUUACCAGUUUGGAUGGAAAGCAAGAGGUCUAUACAGCCUGGCCUGUGUCAGGAUUUCCUGGAGGCAAGGUUGGCCUGAGUGAAAUGGCACAGAAGAACAUAGGUGUGAGGAUUGGUGAUGCCAUCCAGGUCCAGCCUCUUUUGGGUGCUGUGCUACAGGCUGAGGAAAUGGACGUGGCACUCAGUGACAAAAAUGUGGAUAUUAAUGAAGAGCAAUUGACUGGUUGUCUUCUGAGAAAACUAGAUGGCAAGAUUGUUUUACCAGGCAACUUUCUGUAUUGUACAUUCUAUGGACGACCGUGCAAGUUGCAAGUGUUGCAAGUGAAAGGGGUAGACGGCACGAUAUUGAGAAAGCCUCAGAGUGACUCUGACACUGAUACUCAGGGAAUGACCUCUAAAUGGUCCAGCACAGAAACCAGUACCCUUGAUAUAUCUGUACAACUAAGCCAGCUAGAUCUGGAAGAGCCCCAGGACCCAACAUCAAGCAGUACUCCUUGCAAACCAGUAGAUGACAGAAUGAUAAAGAAAGCUGGUGACAUUUUAUUGGAUGUUACCCAGAGUCCUGGGGAUGAUGGUGGACUUGGAUUAGAGGAAGCCACAGGCCUUACAUGCAGUUUUGAGUCUGCCAGAGAAGGAAACGAACAACUUGUCAAUAAAGAGAGGUUGCUGAAGUCAGCCAGCUUGGGAGCAAAGUGCAACACUGAUACUUUUUAUUUUAUUUCUUCAACAACAAGAGUCAGUUUUACAAAGAUUCGUACAAAUUCAAAAGAGCAAGACAACCAAUUCAAAGUAACUUACGACAUGAUAGGAGGCUUAAAUAGUCAGCUGAAGGCAAUUAGAGAAAUAAUUGAACUGCCCCUCAAACAGCCGGAACUUUUCAAGAGCUAUGGAAUUCCUCCCCCUAGGGGAGUGUUACUCUAUGGCCCGCCAGGUACUGGAAAGACAAUGAUUGCCAGGGCUGUUGCCAAUGAAGUCGGAGCCUAUGUUUCUAUAAUUAAUGGUCCUGAAAUUAUAAGCAAAUUCUAUGGGGAGACUGAAGCAAGAUUACGUCAGAUAUUUGCCGAAGCCACUCUGCGGCACCCGUCAAUUAUUUUUAUUGAUGAGCUGGAUGCACUUUGCCCUAAAAGAGAAGGGGCUCAGAAUGAAGUGGAAAAAAGAAUUGUCGCUUCACUUUUAACACUGAUGGAUGGUAUUGGCUCAGAAGGAAGUGAAGGACAGGUUUUGGUCCUUGGGGCCACAAAUCGCCCUCAUGCUUUGGAUGCUGCACUCCGAAGACCUGGACGAUUUGAUAAAGAGAUUGAAAUUGGAGUUCCUAAUGCUCAGGACCGGCUAGAUAUCCUCCAGAAGCUAGUUCGAAGGGUACCCCAUUUGCUCACUAAAGCUGAACUGCUACAGCUGGCAAAUAGUGCUCAUGGAUACGUUGGAGCAGACUUGAAAGCCUUGUGUAAUGAAGCAGGUCUCUAUGCCUUGCGGAGAGUUCUGAAGAAACAGCCUAACCUCCCUGACAGCAAGGUGGCUGGAUUAGUGAAGAUUACUCUGAAUGAUUUCUUGCAGGGAAUGAAUGACAUCAGGCCCAGUGCCAUGAGGGAGGUAGCAAUUGAUGUCCCAAAUGUAUCCUGGUCAGAUAUUGGAGGAGUGGAAAAUAUCAAACUGAAAUUGAAACAGGCUGUGGAAUGGCCCUUGAAACAUCCAGAGUCUUUCAUCCGAAUGGGUAUUCAGCCACCUAAAGGAGUUCUUCUGUAUGGGCCACCUGGAUGCUCUAAAACAAUGAUUGCAAAGGCUUUGGCCAACGAGAGUGGACUGAAUUUCCUAGCUAUAAAGGGGCCUGAAUUAAUGAAUAAAUAUGUUGGUGAAUCUGAAAGAGCAAUUAGAGAGAUCUUCCGAAAAGCAAGAGCAGUGGCUCCUUCCAUCAUUUUCUUUGAUGAACUUGAUGCCUUAGCAAUUGAAAGGGGCAGUUCUUCAGGUGCUGGGAAUGUAGCUGAUCGUGUUUUGGCUCAGCUCUUAACUGAAAUGGAUGGCAUUGAACAGUUAAAGGACGUGACCAUUUUGGCAGCCACUAACCGCCCAGAUAGGAUAGACAAGCUCUAGCUCUUCCAGGAGGAAGUGAUGAGAAGAGAUUUGUAGUCUGCCAUUUAUACCUGGGUUCUUACCUUAUCUUCAGCCACGUAUUACAGUCCACUUAUAUUGACUGUUCUGAUCAGAUAGGAACUAUCAGAACAGGAAAAUUUGAAGCUACAAGAGAACUUGGAAAUCAUCCAGCCCAACUUAUCAAAUUAUCCAUUUGAUAUGAGAUCCUGGGUGGUUAAAGAACUUGUUUGGAUAUAUAGAGUUAAUUGGUUACAUAGUUAACUCUUAAUUUUCAAAGAGUAUUCACAAUAAACUAGCCAAAUUUCCUCAUCUAGUCAAGAAGAGAAACUGAUUUUUUUCAUUCCUUGAACUUCAAAUUUCUAUAAAUUUAUGAACUGUAACUAUGACUAUGGACAUUACUCUUCUUAAUCAGCCUUGCCUAGCUCCAUUUGCUCAAGUCCAACAAAAUUAAUUUCAAGCUAUAAUAUAUAGAUGCUAUUUAUCUGGCUCCUUGCACUUUUUAUAAGAAGGAAUAUACUGUAAUAUUAAGAGCUCUAGAUCCAAACUUUCUGGGUUUGAGUCUAGCUCUGUCACUCAUUUAACUCUGUGACCUUGGACAAGUUGUUCUCCCCUCAGUAUGGGGAGACUAAAACUCUUCAUAAGCUUUCUAGGAUUAAAUGAGUUAAUACAUUGGAAGUGCAUAGAACAGUACACUGAAUGUAAUAUAAUAAUUCAUUAUUAACAUAAUAUUAAUAAUAAGCUGAGCAAUUAAUACAAGCUGAACAGAUUGGUUGGGAUGGGUAAAGAGGCAAUAGAUAUUAGUAGCUUUUUUCCUGUCCUCCUUAGCCUUUGCUUCUGUAUAGGUUUAACUCUGGAGCUAUGUUUCUUAAACUUUAGUAAAGCAUGGACACAUUUUAAAGAAAAUUAUUUUUCCACACUUCUAAGAAUAUACCUACAAAAUCCAGCUGAAGAAACAACAUUAAUUAAAUACUGUUGCUUCCCAUGAUUGCUUGGCUUCAACACAAUCAGAAAUACAAAUGUAAAUUUACAUACUGAAGUCAGGUUAGGAGUAGCCUAUUGUAAGGUGUUGGUUCAAUUGAUCUAGCAUUUUAAUUUUUUGAGAGUAUUAUUAAAAUGAAAACAAUUUUAAAUUUAUAAACUAUCUUGAGAAUACUUCAGCAGACCUUAGUAUGAGAACUGUUGCUUUAGAAGCAAAAAUAACCCACCUUAUGCACAGCAAAUUGUUUCUUUUAUAUGUGUCUAAGGCUCUGUUAUCCCUAUGUGUUUUGAUCAAUUGAAAUUACUGCAGAGUAAUACCAGGCCAAACUGCCAGUGGUGGUAGCAGCUGAAGCUGACUCUGGUCAGAUCACAAAUGAGCCAGAAUAAUGCCCAUUCUGGGGCUGUCUUUAGGUAGAAUGAUAAAAUUGGUUGUAACUUCUUUGUUUUCCUUCUGUCACCCCACUAAGUUCUCCUAUCCUUCCUCUCAUCUGUGCCUUUAUCUCUUACCCCAAAUAUAUGUUUCUCAUUAAGGUGAGAUGAAUUAGUGCUUAUUAAUGUGUUACUUUUCCCACAAUAUUUACAUUUUAAUAAAACAGAUCUAAGGCCCUGAAGGACCUUAAGAUUUAUUUGAAUCUCUUAAAGCGGGAUUUCCAACACUUUGACAAGUUCAAUAAGAAGAAAUAGAGGUACAUAUAUUUUUAAGUAAUUUUUUAUGUUGUAAAGCAAGAACAUGUUCUUUGUAGAAAAUUUUGAAAAUGCAAUAAAAUGAAACAAAACACAGAAAAAAUAAUAUGUAUUCUUAGCUUAUGAAGAUAACCAGUGAUAAUAUUUCUGACAUUUUUCUUAAUAGAUUUUGUUUUAGGAUUUUAAAAAAAUUAUUAAAAUAAGACCAACCAGUUUAUAUUCUGCCUUUUUCACUAAACAUUAUAAACAUAUAAUAUCUCAUGUUUUUAUAAACUAUUCUAAACAUUAUCUUUAAUGAUUGCAUACUAUGGAUUUACCAAGUUAGCGUGUGAAUAUUUCCCACGUUCUUCUUACAUAUUGUGAAUGAUGUUCCAGAAGUUUUGUACUGUAUUGCAUUCCAACCGACAGUAUAUAAGAGCCACUUUAUUGCCAUAUUUUAAUUGUUUGGUGAAAAUGAUAUCCUUAAAAGAGUUUUUCUAAUUUUUAUAUUUUUAUUACUUUUAAGAGAAAUUUGAUUUUCUCUUGUGUAAAUUUGCUCCUUAUGUCUUUGCUUGUUUAGCUGUUGAAAUCUUAAUAUCUUUCUUACUAAUUUGUUUAAAUUCUUUAUAUAGCUAGGUUAUUAAUCUUUUCUUGGAGAUAUUUUGCAGGUGGUGGUUUAUUUUGGAAUUUCAUUUGUAAUGUUCCCUAACAUGCAUAAGUCAUCUCUACAGAUUUUUCCUUUGCUUUUAAACUUAGAAAAUCUUGAGAGUAAGGAAUUUGGAGAUAGGAUGGGGCUUCUGUUGCAUUUCAAACUAUUAAGCUUUAUAUUUUUUAAAAAUCUAAACUCAUGUUCUCCUGUAAGCAGUUUAUGAACGAAGAAACAAAUAAUUUCAGAGGUCCAUGUGGAGUAUUCUUAAAUGUGAUAACAGAUAAAGGGAAAA